CCCGGUGCCAGCGUAAGGCCAGAGUAGUAGUGUCGUUGCAGCAGUGCAGCUUCCCGAAAAGAGAAAAGAAACACAUAUAUACAGAUACUCGAGCCCCCCACCUCCCUCCCAGAACAACUACAUCCGUUUAAUAUAAGAGGCCAUUUAUAUAAAAAUAGAUACUGAAGUGAUUUAGAAAAGCGGAUUUUUGAAUUUCCAAUCAUGGCCGAAACGUACGAGGAGUACGAGGAGACGCACCAUGUCACCAGAAAGUCCGUGACCACCUUCAAAAUCGAGGAACCUGUCCUGUUUGUUCUCGUUGCCGUAUGAGUGUGGUUGUGUGUGUCACGUGUGCGUGUAUUUGAGAGAAAGCAAUUGUGAGGUUUUUUUUUGUAUUGUAUGUGUGCCCGGGCACACACGUGAAAACCAAAAACGGGUACUAUAGUGAGGUACUCAUAGGAAGGAAUCAAAUCAAGGAAAAAGGCAACCAAACAAGGGUGUGUUCUUUGCUCUGGAAGCAAAAAAAUAAUAAUAAUCGAACAACAAAAAGCUACAAUCACACACCCAGAUUACGCGCGCCCGUGUGUGUGAGUGUGUGUGUGUGUGCGUGUGAGUCAACCUGCGUUACCUACUUCUCCUUUCUACCUCUACUCUAUUAGAGCAACAUGACGUCGUCUUCAACCACCACCAAAACCAUCACGACACCGGCCAAACUGUACGGCAAGGAUGUCGGCGCCUAUGACGAUAUCGAUGUGGACGAGCUGCUCGCCCAGCUUUCGCCGGAGGAGAUUACCAUGCUCGCGAAGGAGGUUGAUCCGGACGAUUCGUUUUUGCCACCGAGCCAGCGUACCAACUACGAGUGUGAUAAGGCUCCUACUGGGCCGCUCGAUCGGAAGAAGCUGAUCGAUCAUAUUAAUAAGCAAGCGCUGGAAACACCGGACCGUCCGGAACUGGAACCAUUCGUGCCGGGUGUUGUUCGUGGCAAAAAGUGGAUACCACCACCGCCGGCGGCAAAGCUCCAGGCAGCCGACGAGCAGAUCGCAAUCGAUCUCGGCGACGAGUACGAGCAGGCACUGACCGAUGCGACGCAGGAAGAAAUCAUCGAUCUGGCUGCCAUCCUUGGUUUCCACUCGAUGAUGAACCAGGACCAAUACCAUGCCUCACUGCUUAACAAAGGCCAGCCGGUCGGGCUCGGCUGGGACGGCAUUACCAAGUCUGCCAUACCGAAGAUUUUCCCGGCCGAGGCCCCGAACACGACCGAUCCGGAGGAAACGAUCCAGCGCAUCAAGAGCGACGACAGCAAGCUGGUGGAGGUGAAUCUAAACAACAUUAAGACCAUCUCCGAUGAGCAGUUCGACAAACUGUUCGAGGCGCUCAAGUCCAACACACACCUGGAGGUGCUGUCGCUCACGAACGUUGGCCUGACGGAUCGUACCGCACUGAUGCUGGCCACCGCCCUCGAACAGAACCACGCGCUUCGGGUGCUGAACGUCGAGACGAACUUCAUCAGCCCACCUGUCAUCGUGACGCUGGUCAAGAGCCUUCUAACCCAGAUGACAAUCGAGGAGUUCCGUGCCUCGAACCAGCGAUCGCAAGUGUUCGGUAACAAGAUCGAGAUGGAGAUAACGGAGCUGGUCGAGAAGAAUACCACCCUGCUGCGGCUGGGUUUGCAUUUGGAGUUCAAUGACGCCCGGCAUCGGGUGGCCGCCCAUCUGCAGCGUAACAUUGACAGAAUAAGAAAAAAUCUCUCACAGCGGCUGCAGUUUAGAUUUUUUCAAAACAUGCAUAGGAAACAAACGACCAUGAUACAGUGAGGAAGGGAGCAAAGACGACCCAUCCGCGCGGGGUUUUCACACGUUGUCCCGGCGAUGCGAUCAUCUCGCGCUCGUCUACUGAACCUCUUCUUCCCCCUAUCAACACUCUUCACGACCUGUUACUACUAUUACUACUACCAUCACUACAACCACCACCACCACCACCACCACCACCACUACUACUACUACUACUACUCUACCUACCACUAUUACUCGGCUCAACAAUAGCAACAAGUUAUAAAAGAAAACGAAACAAUCCGCGCAGUUUACUACCUCACACAAGCAACCAGAUGCUCCCACUAAUGACAGCUGUCAAUGUGAAGCUGGGGACGCUUAGUGGUUCUUCGGUUCUUCGAUUCCCGAGUCCGAGUGGAGGGCCAAUCGAAGCAAAGAAUUUGUUUCGAACCUAUCCUCCCCCCAAAGAACACUCUCCUACAGAUACCCACUGAUGGGAUAAGAGAACGAGUAUAGCUAUGGAGAUGUAAAAUUACUAGAGCUUAGCAAGAAAACUACAAAACUGGUCCAGUUUUUGAUCCAGUGUGUGCGUGUGUGUGUGUGUGUAUAAAAUGGAAUCGAAACACAUAAUACUUUUAUGAAAAAAAAAACGCAAAAAUCUUGAGUGGAGAUUAUCUUGCCCGGAGCACGAAGAUCACACUAUAAGAUAGCAAAGAAUGUAAUUUAGAGUGUAUGCGUUAACAAAAAAACAACAUGGUGGUACGGGGAUAGUUUUGUUGGUAGCGAUCGUUUGGUGGCAAUACGAAAACUUUCGUACAUACAAGCUGCCAUCUUUAGUAGGGAUUUUUCGAAAAUGUUUGACAGAUGUGGAACAACUAGCUCUCUCUCUCUCUUUUUAAGUAAUCUCUUUUAUUUGGAUGAUUGGAUUGAUUAACUACUUUUUAAAAAUUUCCAUACUUUUAUUUUGGACCUUUCUAACCAGCCUCUAACCUUUUACCUCAUUUAUUGGCUAUUUUCUAUGGCUCGACCUGGGUUUCUCUGUGUGAGGAGCGGAUUGUGAAGAAUGUGUUGAGUUUUGCUAUAUUGUAACCAUACAACAAAUUGGAAGAGGUGCAGAAAAUGAGAGAGAUAGUAAGAUGGCGAACUAAAAUAUACAUACUACAAAAAGCAGAAGCUACAAAUAUUAACUUCAUUGAUAGGAAGAGUAGUGAGUCAAGGAAAAAGAAAAAGAAGAGUCUAAAAACGUAGUAAGGACUUCAUAUAGAUUUUUUGUUAGUUUCGUUUGUUUGUUACCCAUACACCAAUGUCUACGAAUCGGAUAGUUCCUUGGAAGUUGAGAGAAGCGAUGAAAAUUUUAUUUGUAAAUUUCCAAUCUUUACUGGAAAGCGUUCUGUAUCAUGUUUUUUGUAAUUGUGGAAGUUUAUAAAUUUAUCCUUAUGACAUCACACACAAAAAACCACAUACGUGUAGUGUAUCUAGAAGAGAGACUCCGUUGCUGUUGAUUGGUUUUAUCCAUUUUGAAAUUGUGUAUAGGUAGCGUGUAAUAGCUGGUUGCGUCGUUUGCUCAUUCUAUGUAUACAGUUUUUACCAAGCUCAACACACACAUUUGUACCGAUAAUACUCAUCUCAUGCAACGCUUACGCCCUCUAGCGCAAUUGCAGCAAGGCGUUCACCAUGCCAUCCUUCAUCCAUCAUGGUGGAACAUCAUGGUGGAUGUAUUGUGAGAGGUGAACGGUUCUGCUGUCCAUCGUUGUGAGAUAGAGAGAGAGAGAGUGAGCGUGCGUAUGAAUUAAACAACCAAUCAUAGCUACCAAUCAAAUAGGCUUUAGGUCCUGCCGACACCUGUCAGUGGGAAAGGAGUUCAGACUUUUGCCUCCCCCCCCCCCGCCCCCCUUUUAACACCUUCCGUUGUCCUGCCCGGUGUUAGUGUUUGCAGUAGUUGUGCCAGUAGCUCAAGAACGGAAAUUGUAGGACCUACUUGUAACCUCUCUACUAUCCCCGCAUCGUACCGGAAAGCGCCCUAGCUGACAGCGGAGCACUACUGGCAGGCAAAGGGAAUAUUAUAAGCAAAUAUUACACACGCGAUCGCGUGUUGCCGUUUCUGUUUUCGCGAGUUUUCCCAAUUUGUUUUUUUUUUAGGUUUUUUUGUGGUGGUCUUGGUUCUUUAAACUUUCCCGUUGUGCCCGCUGCUUACCUUAAUUGUAUACAUGUAUGUAUAGCGUUGAAUAUAUAUAUUGCAUCUAAAGUUGAAAAUUGAAUUAAAAUUGAAUAUUUAAGUGAGCACAUCAUCGCCCGUGGGUGGUAUUGUGGGUGGGUAGCAACCAUUGUUGGACCGCCUCACCCCAGGAGGAGGUUGAGAGAAGGGAAGGAAAGAAGGGAAUUUGAGGGAGAAUAUAGCAGAAUGUAUGCAGCGUACAAGUGUGGUCCUUCGUGUUGGCACAACUUCGUUUCGUUAUUGGAAACCGGCGUAAAUUCCCCAUUCUUGCGAGCGUGUGUCUGUGUGUGUCUUUGAGUCUAUAUAUAUGAGAGAGGUCAGCGACAAGGGUUCGUCGGGAUCUGGUGACGGUGUUCCUGGUGGAGGAGGAGGAGUAAGAAGACGGAAGCUAGCUGCUGUCGCGUGUCUAUCAACAUCCCUCGUCGGACGUUGCUCCGGCCAUCCUGGGAACGCGAGAGACCUCACUAGCUCUACUGCGAUUGUUACGUCAGGCGCGUCUUAACCAGCGCAAGUAAAAUGUCGGGUUUACUCAACUACAAAACGGAGACACAGACGAUAUAGUACCAUCAAUCCCGCAUGCUUACCAUGGCUUUCGGAACAAAAAACGGCGUCCGCAAAAAAAAAACAAGAGGAAGAAGAAACACACCACCAACCCAACCACCCACACACUCACAUAGAUACGCUUUCGACCAAACCAAUUUGGAGCUCAAGCGCGCGGAUCGCGCCGCAAGGGUAUGUGAUGUAGUCGUUGUGUGGGGUGCGGGUUUGCGUGCAUGUGCGUAUGUCUCCGUGACCUGAAGAAGAAGCGACGACAAGCAAAAUUUUAAUUCGUUUUAAUCACAUCAUUUAUGACCGCCAGUUAUCGUGACUGUUUGCCUGAAGCUGCCUGAUGCUCGGAAGAUGUAUAAGAUUAAGAUCAGGGCAAUGCAAUACGGAUGAUGGUGAUGAUGGAUGGUGUCACGCAUCCAGAGGAUGCUCCGUUCGAUUUAAUAUAUUGUACGACUACGGUUGCGUUCUUUUUACUGUUUCGUUUUCCCCCGCCCCCAAUUUCCUGGUAGCCAUCGAAACAUCGGUAGCAAUAUCUUCCCCCUCGGGUUUUGUUUUUAAACUUUUGUGUUUGUUUUUUAAUAACUAUUUUCCAUAUUGACAAGGCACAGUCAGUCAGCCAACCAGUCAGGAAAACCAGCACCCGCGUGCGGCGGUCUUUAUGCUGCGGAACAGUGCGAUUUGUGUUGCGUACGCUUUAUGUAGUAGGCUAGGCCUAGAACACAUCACAUCAUACGAGGCGAGGAGCUAGAAGAGAACGGAAAAAUCUAUCGUGUCGGAAUAGUGAGGAAGCUUUUGCUUUAGCUUGUUGUAGAAUUGAGGACAAAUGAUACACCCACGCAGGUUGGAAAUGAAGAAAAUUUUGGUAAAAGCUCGAAGAAAAUCUUAUCCUAUUUUUGCGAAACGAAGAUAUCUAAGACGCGUUGACUAUUAUAACUCGUCCGAUGCAACCAUCACACAAACACACACCCCGGUGGAUGGAAAUGCGCGGUUUCUAUUUUUAUAUUAUUCUUAUUAUUUAUGUUAAGCAUAUUUCCGAUUAGCUUUGGCGGCAAAAAAAUGGCAGCAAGAGUUUGAGACGUAUAAGGAAUAUCCCUGAAUGAGAAGGUAGAUGACGAUGAUGAUGAUGAUGUAUGAGGCAAAUCCCCACUACCAGUCGUGAACGUUUUUAAAUUAUUCACUAUCGAAUGUUUAUGGUAAACACAAUAGUACAUCAACAAAUAAAAUGUAAGCGAAAAAUGUAACGAUCACUCUGCCGCCAUUUA
RNA transcript from Anopheles stephensi (Asian malaria mosquito), 5774 nucleotides. It is a transcript of the gene named tropomodulin, with no coding region annotated. The transcript has 11 exons. Lineage: Eukaryota; Metazoa; Arthropoda; Insecta; Diptera; Culicidae. The record is from RefSeq and is a predicted model, not a curated record.